Homo sapiens (human) is the source of this 2199-nucleotide non-coding RNA. The record is from RefSeq and is a predicted model, not a curated record. NCBI's taxonomy places the organism in Eukaryota, Metazoa, Chordata, Mammalia, Primates, Hominidae.
ACUUUGCCUGUGUGGCCUCCAGUGGUCAGACAGAACCCAAAGGAAAAGAGCCAGGGUGCGGAUUGGCAGAAGCUAUUCUGGCCCAUGUGCAGAGCAUCAAGAAUGUGUGCUGCAAAAGAGUCUCUCUCUGUCACCCAGGCUGGAGUGCAGUGGCGCCAUCUCGGCUCACUGCAAGCUCCGCCUCCCGGGUUCAUGCCAUUCUCCUGCCUCAGCCUCCCGAGUAGCUGGGACUACAGGCGUCCGCCACCACGCCCAGAUCCCUAUCACGUCCUCGACUUUCCUGCAAGAGGCAGAUUAUUACAGUCCCCUGGGAGCCACUCAGGGGGAGUCUCAGGGCACAGAGGUUAUUUGAUUCAAUUACAAGAAAUCUGAUGAGUAUCUACAAGGAACUCAGAGCUGUGGGAGAAGAGAAAAAAGUGCAUGAAGUAAAGAAAAAGCAGGGAAUGAGAGAAAAAAAUGGAGGAGUGAGUGCCACAGCCCAGUCAGUAAGUGCUACGUAAGUGCCUGGAAGAGCGAGAGAGGGUGGGGACUAUGCUGGGAAGUCCAAGACGCAGGGUCUAUGUGGAUGGUAGCUAACACAAUAGUGGUCUCCCCCCAAGAAGCAAAGCAAUGGCAUAGAACUAAGAACUCUAACUCAAGACAGUUUUCCUGAAAUACAACAACUACAUUUUGAAAAUUACCAUAUUCCUGAGAAUAUUGACCCAGAAUGAUCAACACUGAGACAUAUUCUAGCAAAAUUUGGGGGCUUACAAAAAGGAAAAGAAAUCCUUUGGGCAAGAACCUGACCCCGAAAGUGAAUUCGAUUAUCAUCAGAUUUUUGACAACGAUGUUUUAUGCUAGAAAAAAAUGGAGUAACAUCUUUCAGACAGCCCCUUCCUACAGACUCUUGGAAAGAACUAGCUGUAGACAAGCAAAAUGGCUAGAGGACAGUGACACAGGGCUGGGGUUGAUAGUUACUCUAGAGCUAAGAUUAAAUGAGGGCUAAACCGGAGGCAGGACAGUGCAUAUGAUGGUUAUACGAUCUGACAAUGCAGAUAUAGGAUGACCACAAAAAUCGGGGGAAAUGGGAAAGCAUAUGAAGACAUUUUUUUGUUUGUUUUUGAGACAACCUGUUGCCCAGGCUGGAAUGCAAUGGUGGAUUCAUAACUCACUGUAACCUCGAACUCCUGGGCUUAAGCAAUCCUCCUAACUCAGCCUCCCAAAUAGCUGGGACUACAGGUGCACGCCACUAUGCUGGGCUAACUUUUUUUUUUUGGAGAGACUGGAUGUUGUUGCUAUGUUGCCUAGGCAGUUCUCAAACUCCUGGCCCCAAGUGAUCCUCCCACCUUGGCCUCCCAAAGUGCUGGGAUUACAGGUGUUGUGAGCCACUGUGCCCGGCAUGAAAGCAUUUUUUAAACAACUCUCAUAAAUUACACCAAGUGUUAGAGUGUGAUAUUGCUAUUCUGAUACUGCUGUGUGUAGUAUGGGAUAAACAGGCACCUUUUUAUAUUCUGCACCUUCUACCUAACCUCAGGAUAGAUCACUGGACACAACAUCAACUUUUUGCUUCUCUUUGUAAACGAUGCUAUUUAUUUAUUUGUUUAUUUUUACCAGCAAUGACUUUGGAGGCUUGCUUUAAUAACACCACUCUUUCUCAACUCCCCAGGUUUCCAUUUCUGUGCGAAGGGCUUCCAUUCAUUCCUGUUAUCCUUCUUGCUUUAUUCCUGGCUGUCUAGGUUUAGCAUAUUUUUAAAUCUGGAAGAAUAUUUAUCUUCAGACUGGUAGGGACUUUUGUUUAUUUUAUUAAUCUCUAAAGGUCUGUCCUGGACCACUGACAGCCAUUGUCCAUUUCAAACUCGGUUGUUAGCAGAAUUAACCUGUCAUUUCACGGAAAUAGUCUGUGUUGCUGGAAACCGAAACUUUCGCACCCAGGAAUUUACCAGGCGUUUGGUUCAGUGUGGUUUAUUUAGAUGUCGUUGAAUGGCCAACGGCUUAGUUUCUUUCUCUCCCUUUUGUACUUUCUAAGGCAAAAAGGAGAAAAUGCUGGGUACUCAUCACUCAGAAGCAUGUGUUUUAUUUUUCUUCAUAGACUUUUCUCCAUGUGAUUAUGAUUUAUGUGUUUAUGACUUUCUCCCCAUGACAGCAGGGCCCUUUGUUGUUUGCUGUUGUUUCUGCAGCACUUGGCGCCGAUGGCAUUUCAAUAAAUAUUUGUUGAAUGAA